GACGGAGGGUGCAAGCGUAAUUCGGAUUUACUGGGCGUAAAGCGCGCGCGGGCGGUAUUGUAAGUCGGAUGUGAAAGCCCUGGGCUUAAGCCAGGAAGUGCAUUCGAUACUGCAUUACUUGAGUAUGGGAGAGGGAGGUGGAAUUCCUGGUGUAGUGGUGAAAGUCGUAGAUAACAGGGGGAACAGCGGUGGCGAAGGCGGCUUCCUGGACCAAUACUGCCGCUGAGUCGCGAAGGCGUGGGGAGCAAACAGG
This 253-nucleotide ribosomal RNA is filed under the name uncultured bacterium. Its description in RNAcentral is "partial 16S ribosomal RNA". It matches the Rfam family "Bacterial small subunit ribosomal RNA", at positions 524 to 776 of the family's 1533-position model. The record is from RNAcentral.